Molecule: RNA transcript, 3140 nt
Organism: Physeter macrocephalus (sperm whale)
Lineage: Eukaryota; Metazoa; Chordata; Mammalia; Artiodactyla; Physeteridae
Gene: TMEM87A
Gene name: transmembrane protein 87A
Exons: 21
Source: RefSeq, a predicted model, not a curated record
AGAGCGGAGCCGGAAGAGGGCGGGACGAACCGGAAGAAGGUGAAAUGCUUUCGGUAGGCACUCCACGGCUGUGAAGAUGGCGGUGGCUGCGUGGCUUCAGGUGCUGCCUGUCAUUCUUCUUCUCCUGGGGGCUCAGACGUCCCCAUUGUCGCUUUUCAGUGUAGGACCGGCACCCGUCGCUGCUGCCGACCGAUCCAAGUGGCACAUUCCGAUACCGUCGGGGAAAAAUUAUUUUAGUUUUGGAAAGAUCCUCUUCAGAAAUACCACUAUCUUCCUGAAAUUUGAUGGAGAACCUUGUGAUGUAUCUUUGAAUAUAACCUGGUAUCUGAAAAGUGCUGACUGUUACAAUGAAAUCUACAACUUCAAGGCAGAAGAAGUGGAAACAUACUUGGAAAACCUUAAGGAAAAAAAAGGCUUGUCUGGGAAAUAUCAAACAUCAUCAAAAUUGUUCCAAAACUGCAGUGAACUCUUUAAAACACAGAGUUUUUCUGGGGAUUUCGUGCAUCGAUUGCCUCUUUUAGGAGAAAAACAGGAGGCCAAGGAGAAUGGAACAAAUCUUACCUUUACUGGAGACAAAACUGUAAUGCAUGAGCCCUUGAAAACUUGGCAAGAUGCACCAUACAUUUUUAUUGUACAUGUUGGCAUUUCGCCCUCCAAAGAAUCAUCAAAAGAAAAUUCACUAAGUAAUCUUUUUACCAUGACUGUUGAAGUGAAAGGUCCCUAUGAAUACCUCACGCUUGAAGAAUAUCCAUUGAUGAUUUUUUUCAUGGUGAUGUGUAUUGUGUAUGUCCUAUUUGGUGUUCUGUGGCUGGCAUGGUCUGCUUGCUAUUGGAGAGAUCUCCUGAGAAUUCAGUUUUGGAUUGGUGCUGUCAUCUUCCUGGGAAUGCUUGAGAAAGCUGUCUUCUAUGCAGAAUUUCAGAACAUCCGAUACAAAGGAGAAUCUGUCCAAGGUGCCCUGAUCCUUGCAGAGCUGCUUUCAGCAGUUAAACGCUCACUGGCUCGAACGCUGGUCAUCAUAGUCAGUCUGGGAUAUGGCAUAGUCAAGCCUCGCCUUGGAGUCACUCUUCACAAGGUUGUGGUAGCAGGAGCCCUUUAUCUUUUGUUCUCUGGCAUGGAAGGGGUCCUCAGAGUUACUGGGGCCCAGACUGAUCUUGCUUCCUUGGCCUUUAUCCCCUUGGCUUUCCUAGACACUGCCCUGUGCUGGUGGAUAUUUAUUAGCCUGACUCAAACAAUGAAGCUAUUAAAACUUCGGAGGAACAUUGUGAAACUCUCUUUGUACCGACAUUUCACCAACACACUUAUCUUGGCAGUGGCAGCAUCUAUUGUGUUUAUCAUCUGGACAACCAUGAAGUUCAGGAUAGUGACUUGUCAGUCGGAUUGGCGGGAGCUGUGGGUAGACGAUGCCAUCUGGCGGUUGCUGUUCUCCAUGAUCCUCUUUGUCAUCAUGGUUCUCUGGCGACCAUCUGCAAACAACCAGAGGUUUGCCUUUUCACCAUUGUCUGAGGAAGAGGAGGAGGAUGAACAAAAGGAACCUAUGCUGAAGGAAAGCUUUGAAGGAAUGAAAAUGAGAAGUACCAAACAAGAACCAAAUGGAAAUAGUAAAUUAAACAAAGCACAGGAAGAUGAUUUAAAGUGGGUAGAAGAGAAUGUUCCUUCAUCUGUGACAGAUGUAGCACUUCCAGCCCUUCUGGAUUCGGAUGAGAACUGAAAAAGAACUUCAAUGAAUUACAAGAGAAACCAAUUAAAUAAAGGACUAGGAAUCAGAACAGCAUCAGACUCUCUUCAACAAUGUUGGAAGCUAGAAGAUAAUAGAACAAUGUCUUUGAAUUCUGAGAAAAAUUAUUUUCAAACUAGAAUUCUGCACUCAACUAUCAAUAUAAGGGAACGAAUGAUCACGCACUUUGAAAGGUCCAAAAUGGAGUAAAGAGUGGGAAGAUUUGCAGCUGAAGAUGGCUAGUAUCUGGGAAGAGAUCAGCUUCUGUGUUAGUCUUUACACUGCUCCAUGGGAUUAAAGGAGGCAAUGACAUCCUGAUCUGUUCCUUGAUCUUCGUGCGUUGGAGCUGGCGAGAGGUGUUGGAACAAGGAGAACAUUCUAUUGAAAACAAGGUCAUAGGAUGAGAAAAAUCUACAAGUUUUUUAUUUGCAGAAUUGAUGCCCCUUUCCCGCCCACACCCUGACAUGGAUGUUUAUGCAACUUGUGUAUGUUGUUCCUAAACCUUCUAUAAUGUUUAAAUUGUUUAAUCUGUCAAACUAAAAAAUUUAACAUCUUCUGAAGAACUGUGACAUCAACACCAUAAUAAGUAAUAUCCAGGAGCAACUGCCUGUAAUUUUUAUUUAUUUAGGGAGUUACAUAGGUGAUGGGGGAAAUUGUUAAUUAUCUUUGCAUUUCCUGGGAAGCCAAGGUUAAAUCUUGCAGAGGUAGUUUUGAGAAAAGAGUCCUUCUGCGUUAAGGAGCCAUGGUUCUAACAAUGAUUAAAACAACCAAAAAAAAAGAAAGAAAGAAAGAGACUGUUACAGUGUGAUUUAGAUCAUUUGAAAAAGCAAAAUCAAGUGCAAUUUUGUUUACAAAUGGUGUAUAUUAAAGAUUUUUCUAUUUCAGAUGUACUUUAGAGAGAAAUAUUAGCUUAACUCUUUUGACAUCUGCUAUUGUGACACAUCCCAUUGCUGGCAAUGUGGUGCACACUCCAGAACUUUUAACUACUGUUUUGUAAGCCUUCAAGGGCAGCAUUGCAGAGUCCUAGGCAAUGCUUUGCUUGCCUUCAUGCCUUUUACUGGGUGUUGCACUAGAUGCAGAAAGGCACUCCGUCGUAAGUGCAUGUGAGUGAGCACCCUGUUAAAGGGAUUAUAAUGCUUCAGAAGCAGGAGCUAAUACAAAGGAAACAGGUCCUUCUGGCUUAAACAGUUUUUUCUGCAUGAAAUAGUGUGGAGGCCCUGGACUGCUGCUCAUUCUUUAGGAUUGACUGUUCUUGUAUCUGGUGUUGGUUUAGGGAUGGUUUAUAAGAAACAUCACAAGGUGAUGGGAUUCAUUUGAAGCACUAUAUUUGUUUGAAUGAUUUUGUCCAAUUUUGCCUUCCCAAGAUUUUUUGUUCUACAUAUAGAAAGUUCAUGCCACUUUUUAAUAUUAAAAAAUUUUAACAAAA